GAUGACGCUGGCGGCGUGCCUAAUACAUGCAAGUCGAGCGAACAGAUGAGGAGCUUGCUCCUCUGACGUUAGCGGCGGACGGGUGAGUAACCCGUGGAUAACCUACCUAUAAGACUGGGAUAACUUCGGGAAACCGGAGCUAAUACCGGAUAAUAUAUUGAACCGCAUGGUUCAAUAGUGAAAGACGGUUUUGCUGUCACUUAUAGAUGGAUCCGCGCCGCAUUAGCUAGUUGGUAAGGUAACGGCUUACCAAGGCAACGAUGCGUAGCCGACCUGAGAGGGUGAUCGGCCACACUGGAACUGGGACACGGUCCAGACUCCUACGGGAGGCAGCAGUAGGGAAUCUUCCGCAAUGGGCGAAAGCCUGACGGGGCAACGCCGCGUGAGUGAUGAAGGUCUUCGGAUCGUAAAACUCUGUUAUUAGGGAAGAACAAAUGUGUAAGUAACUAUGCACGUCUUGACGGUACCUAAUCAGAAAGCCACGGCUAACUACGUG
This 496-nucleotide ribosomal RNA is filed under the name uncultured bacterium. RNAcentral describes it as "partial 16S ribosomal RNA". It matches the Rfam family "Bacterial small subunit ribosomal RNA", at positions 32 to 507 of the family's 1533-position model. The record is from RNAcentral.